This is a long non-coding RNA of Choloepus didactylus (southern two-toed sloth), 1509 nucleotides long. RefSeq lists it as uncharacterized. Lineage: Eukaryota; Metazoa; Chordata; Mammalia; Pilosa; Megalonychidae. The record is from RefSeq and is a predicted model, not a curated record. The transcript has 3 exons.
ACUAAAGAGGAGACAGAUGCUGUCACUCAUGCAGAAUUUUUUCCCUCUGCAGGGGCAGGUUGCCUAUGGAGUGCCAAGAGUUGCAUAGGAGGAGAUAGAGAGGAUGCUUCUGGGAGAGCUCCCUUACUUUCAUUCUCCCUCAUUUACAAAUAAGCCAAUCACCUGAAAUGCUGAAGACCUCUCAGCAGCCCUUGACUCAGAGCCUGCACUUUGCAGAUGAGCUGCCCAGGGUUGGUGGCCAGUCGGUGACAUGCUGGAGCCAGAACCCAGUGCCCUGACCCACCAGCACACAGGUAAGAAGUCUGGUGGAUUCACUGGAUUCAGAGCUCACACAAUGUCACUGGGACCUGGUUACUCUCCAGCUUUCGAUUCUGCCUUCUGCUGUGUUGGCCUUGGCCUCAGCCUCCUUGUAGAGGUGAAAUGGCACCAGUUCCUGCAUCCUCUGAGGUUCAAGCCCAGAGAGAGAGAAAAACUCUCCUCUCUAACUGUCUAAGCCAGACUUCCAACGGAGGGACCAGAUUUAACUCCCACCUUUAAAAAAAACCAGACAAAAUAUAUGAGACAAAGGUUUUUAGAAAAUGGACAAGAGGCAGCGCAGGACAGUGAUCCUGAGAGCAGAGAAGUAAAUGAAUUGAGAUGUACUAUCACCCCAGCUUACCACCUGCACAGUUUCUAGGCCACAGGUCGGGAGGGGAAAGCUGGGUGGAGCCUGAUAGUCUCCAUGAGUUAAGGAGAUGGAGUUGGGAAUCUGGGGAUUGGGAGGACCCAAGGCAACUGGAGUUUACAGGGUAGAGUAUCACAGGAGAGAGAGAGCUACCCACUGAGAGAGAGAGAACUCCAGAGACCAUUAGAGGGAUGCCCUUGAGUAUUCAGCAGAGCACUAAUGGAUACAUUCAUGAGAGGGGAACACUGGAGGUCCGGAAAGAAUCCUCUGAAGGAAUAGGCAUAAAAGUCCCCAAAGCUCACACAGGUCAGGAAUAUUUUGUGCUCCCACCAGCCAGAAUAGAAAAACCUUGUAAGACAUGGAGCAUCGGCUAGAAUACUCAGAAAUGUGUUGCCUCAAUAGAGGGGCCUAGUUAGCCCUACACUAAAGGCUGCUCUGGUCCUGACUAACACAUCUUAAAUGCAAGCCUUGAAUGGAACUGUUUCCAAGUCAUUUAACUGUACACCAGAACCUAACUCAAGACUAUUAAAAGAAGUACAAAAGUAUCUAGCACUAAGAAGAUAAAAUUAAAAUGUCUGUCAGCCAAAUUAAGAUUUGCCAAGCAUGCAAAGAAGCAGGAAAAUAGGAUCCAUAAUGAAGAGAAAAAUAAAUCAAUAGAACCAGACCCAGAAAUGAUACAGAUAGAAUUAGUAGUCAAGUUCCAGAAAGUAGAGAAGCACAUGAGCAUUUUUUUUAUUAAAUUCAGUUUUAUUGAAAUACAUUCACACACCAUACAAUCAUCCAUGAUAUACAAUCCACUGUCCACAGUAUGAUAACAUAGUUAUGCGUUCAUCACCACAAUCUAU